This 498-nucleotide ribosomal RNA is filed under the name uncultured bacterium. RNAcentral's name for it is "partial 16S ribosomal RNA". It matches the Rfam family "Bacterial small subunit ribosomal RNA", at positions 30 to 523 of the family's 1533-position model. The record is from RNAcentral.
AUUGAACGCUGGCGGCAUGCUUUACACAUGCAAGUCGAACGGCAGCGCGGGGCAACCUGGCGGCGAGUGGCGAACGGGUGAGUAAUAUAUCGGAACGUACCCAGAAGUGGGGGAUAACGUAGCGAAAGUUACGCUAAUACCGCAUACGAUCUACGGAUGAAAGUGGGGUACUUUCGGGCCUCAUCCUGGUGGUGCGGCCGAUUUCUGAUUAGCAAGUGGGUAGGGUAAAGGCUAACCAAGGCGACGACCAGUAGCUGGUCUGAGAGGACGACCGGCCACACUGGGACUGAGACACGGCCAAGACUCCUACGGGAGGCAGCAGUGGGGAAUUUUGGACAAUGGGCGCAAGCCUGAUCCAGCAAUGCCGCGUGAGAGAAGAAGGCCUUCGGGUUGUAAAGCUCUUUUGUCAGGGAAGAAACGGUGCGGACUAAUAUUCUGCGCUAAUGACGGUACCUGAAGAAUAAGCACCGGCUAACUACGUGCCAGCAGCCGCCGUAA